UACGUAUGGUGCAAGCGUUAUCCGGAUUUACUGGGUGUAAAGGGAGCGCAGGCGGCACGGCAAGCCUGAUGUGAAAGCCCGCGGCCCAACCGCGGGACUGCAUUGGGAACUACCGGGCUGGAGUGCCGGAGAGGUAGGCGGAAUUCCUAGUGUAGCGGUGAAAUGCAUAGAUAUCACGCAGAACUCCGAUUGCGAAGGCAGCAUACCGGCGCCCGACUGACGCUGAGGCACGAAAGCGUGGGGAUCGAACAGG
This 253-nucleotide ribosomal RNA is filed under the name uncultured Eubacteriales bacterium. Its description in RNAcentral is "uncultured Clostridiales bacterium partial 16S ribosomal RNA". It matches the Rfam family "Bacterial small subunit ribosomal RNA", at positions 524 to 776 of the family's 1533-position model. The record is from RNAcentral. Lineage: Bacteria; Bacillati; Bacillota; Clostridia; Eubacteriales.